CAUACGCGUUCAGAGUUUGAUCCUGGCUCAGGAUGAACGCUGGCGGCGUGCCUAACACAUGCAAGUCGAACGGACUUUGGUGAAACCUAGUGAUCCAAAGUUAGUGGCGGACGGGUGAGUAACGCGUGGGUAACCUGCCUCACACUGGGGGAUAACAGUUAGAAAUGACUGCUAAUACCGCAUAAGUGCACAGUACCGCAUGGUACAGUGUAAAAAACUCCGGUGGUGUGAGAUGGACCCGCGUCUGAUUAGCUAGUUGGUGAGGUAACGGCUCACCAAGGCGACGAUCAGUAGCCGGCCUGAGAGGGUGAACGGCCACAUUGGGACUGAGACACGGCCCAA
RNAcentral lists this ribosomal RNA (342 nucleotides) under uncultured bacterium. RNAcentral describes it as "bacterial SSU rRNA". It matches the Rfam family "Bacterial small subunit ribosomal RNA", at positions 1 to 334 of the family's 1533-position model. The record is from RNAcentral.